RNAcentral lists this ribosomal RNA (834 nucleotides) under Leifsonia sp. Its description in RNAcentral is "bacterial SSU rRNA". It matches the Rfam family "Bacterial small subunit ribosomal RNA", at positions 48 to 901 of the family's 1533-position model. The record is from RNAcentral. Lineage: Bacteria; Bacillati; Actinomycetota; Actinomycetes; Micrococcales; Microbacteriaceae.
GCUACCAUGCAGUCGAACGAUGACGGAGAGCUUGCUCUUCUGAUUAGUGGCGAACGGGUGAGUAACACGUGAGCAAUCUGCCCUUGACUCUGGGAUAAGCGUUGGAAACGACGUCUAAUACCGGAUACGACCCUUGGAGGCAUCUCUGGGGGUGGAAAGAAUUUUGGUCAGGGAUGAGCUCGCGGCCUAUCAGUUAGUUGGUGAGGUAAUGGCUCACCAAGGCGACGACGGGUAGCCGGCCUGAGAGGGUGACCGGCCACACUGGGACUGAGACACGGCCCAGACUCCUACGGGAGGCAGCAGUGGGGAAUAUUGCACAAUGGGCGAAAGCCUGAUGCAGCAACGCCGCGUGAGGGACGACGGCCUUCGGGUUGUAAACCUCUUUUAGUAGGGAAGAAGCGAAAGUGACGGUACCUGCAGAAAAAGCACCGGCUAACUACGUGCCAGCAGCCGCGGUAAUACGUAGGGUGCAAGCGUUGUCCGGAAUUAUUGGGCGUAAAGAGCUCGUAGGCGGUUUGUCGCGUCUGCUGUGAAAACCCGAGGCUCAACCUCGGGCCUGCAGUGGGUACGGGCAGACUAGAGUGCGGUAGGGGAGAUUGGAAUUCCUGGUGUAGCGGUGGAAUGCGCAGAUAUCAGGAGGAACACCAAUGGCGAAGGCAGAUCUCUGGGCCGUAACUGACGCUGAGGAGCGAAAGCAUGGGGAGCGAACAGGAUUAGAUACCCUGGUAGUCCAUGCCGUAAACGUUGGGAACUAGAUGUGGGGACCAUUCCACGGUCUCCGUGUCGCAGCUAACGCAUUAAGUUCCCCGCCUGGGGAGUACGGCGCAGGUAACC